This 497-nucleotide ribosomal RNA is filed under the name uncultured bacterium. RNAcentral describes it as "partial 16S ribosomal RNA". It matches the Rfam family "Bacterial small subunit ribosomal RNA", at positions 28 to 507 of the family's 1533-position model. The record is from RNAcentral.
GAUGAACGCUGGCGGCGUGCCUAAUACAUGCAAGUCGAGCGAACGGACGAGAAGCUUGCUUCUCUGAUGUUAGCGGCGGACGGGUGAGUAACACGUGGAUAACCUACCUAUAAGACUGGGAUAACUUCGGGAAACCGGAGCUAAUACCGGAUAAUAUUUUGAACCGCAUGGUUCAAAAGUGAAAGACGGUCUUGCUGUCACUUAUAGAUGGAUCCGCGCUGCAUUAGCUAGUUGGUAAGGUAACGGCUUACCAAGGCAACGAUGCAUAGCCGACCUGAGAGGGUGAUCGGCCAGCCUGGAACUGAGACACGGUCCAGACUCCUACGGGAGGCAGCAGUAGGGAAUCUUCCGCAAUGGGCGAAAGCCUGACGGAGCAACGCCGCGUGAGUGAUGAAGGUCUUCGGAUCGUAAAACUCUGUUAUUAGGGAAGAACAUAUGUGUAAGUAACUGUGCACAUCUUGACGGUACCUAAUCAGAAAGCCACGGCUAACUACGUG